Long non-coding RNA from Brassica rapa (field mustard), 1406 nucleotides. RefSeq lists it as uncharacterized. The record is from RefSeq and is a predicted model, not a curated record. NCBI's taxonomy places the organism in Eukaryota, Viridiplantae, Streptophyta, Magnoliopsida, Brassicales, Brassicaceae.
AAGUGUGGAAAUAUCUUUAGGAAUUAUUAUUUCUAUAUAUUAUUAUAUUUUUUUACUUAAGAGUCAAUAACAUAUAUAGACAAUGUUGACCGAGGAAUAUGAUAAAUACAUAAAAAAUUUAAAGGCAAAUGUAGUCAGAGUUAUAGAUUAUAGCAUCACCCACAAACUAAGUAAGUAUUAGGAAUUUAGGACUCAGGAAUAUAUUCUAUAUUUUGUAGACAAGGUAUAUAUAUAAAGUUAAACAUAUUAUUUUUUCAUGUUAUCAUAUUGUCAAGUGGUUUACAAAAAAACUCACAUUAAUGUUUACAAAUAUAUACUUAAAAAUUAAUAUAGAUUUUUAUAAAUAUAUACUUAGAAAUGUAAAGAAGAACCAAAUUGAAUGAAAAGAACAAAAUUAUGCAUAUUUUGGCCUAAUUAAACUAAGAAAAAGAGAUAGUUCAAUUUAUAGGAAUUGUUUCAAUUCAAUAUGAAUUUUUAUAACAAAAAUAUAUGUUAAAGUAAGAUAACAAUAUAAUGUUUAUAAAGAAAAUCUAUAUAAUUUUCAUACAUAUAAAUUAUAAAAUAUUUAAAAUUUUCUAAAAAGUGAAAGCUAAACAUUGUGAUUUAACUAUUUUUUGUCAAUUUAAAUUUGUGUAUGGGUUUUUACAAUACUACUGAUUAUAUUGGCUAAUGCAACUCUAAUAACAUUAGUUUUUUAGUUUUUUUUAUGAAACAACAUACAUUAAAAGUAUACAAACUAUUAUAAAAAUAUAUUUAGAAAAUACUAUGAUUGUAAUUUAUUCAGAACGAAAAAAAUAAGAUUGAAAGAUAAAUACAAUCCAAUAUACAAAAAAAAACUGAAAUAAUUUGAAUUUUUAUCUAUGAAAUGUGAAUUUUUUUUGAAGAGAGAGAAAGCUGAGGAAUUUUCAUCACAGUUGUAUAAGCUUAUAAUAUCAAUAACAUACAUAUUUUCAUACAAAAUUCAUAAAUAAGCAAAACUAAGAAAAAUAGUUAGCUCAAUUUAGAGGAAUUGUUGCAAUUCAUUUUGAAUUCUUAUACGAAAAAUAUAUGUUAAAGUAAGAUAACAAUAUAAGGUUUAUAAAGAAAAUCUAUAUGAUUUUCAUACAUAUAAAUUAUAAACUAUUUUAAAUUUUCUAAAAAUGAAAGCAAAACAUUGUAACUAUUUUAUGAAUAUUUAAAUAUGUGUAUGGGUUUUUAACAUGCAACUCUAAUAACAUUAUUACUUUUAGUUUUUUUUCAUAAAUAACAUAUAUUAAAAUUAUACAAAUUAUUAUAAAAUAUAUUUAGAAAAUACUAGGAUUGUAAUUUAUUCAAAAACAAAAUAAAUUAUGAUUAAAAGAUAAAUAAAUCCAAUAUACCAAAAAAACUGAACUAAUUUGAAUUGUUAUCUAUGAAUUGUGAAUUUU